RNAcentral lists this ribosomal RNA (253 nucleotides) under uncultured bacterium. RNAcentral's name for it is "partial 16S ribosomal RNA". It matches the Rfam family "Bacterial small subunit ribosomal RNA", at positions 524 to 776 of the family's 1533-position model. The record is from RNAcentral.
UACAGAGGGGGCAAGCGUUAUUCGGAAUUAUUGGGCGUAAAGGGCGCGUAGGCGGCCAUUCAAGUGACGGGUGAAAGCCCUCGGCUUAACCGAGGAACUGCCUGUCAGACUGGAUGGCUUGAGACCGGGAGAGGUGAGUGGAAUUCCCAGUGUAGCGGUGAAAUGCGUAGAUAUUGGGAGGAACACCGAUGGCGAAGGCAGCCCCCUGGGGUAACACUGACGCUCAUGCACGAAAGCGUGGGGAGCAAACAGG